GUCAGUAAGUCAAACACGAACCAUGCACAUGGGAAAUUAUCCAGCUGUCUUUCUCUGAUCACACUUUUUUCAUAGUGCAUAGUAGAAAAAUACAGGAUGAAACCGGAGACAGAUUACAAUGAUAAAAAUCCUGGGCUUUACCCAGAAUGCCACAGGUAUUUGAUAUGCACAUCGACCACCUGAGGCACAAAGAUAUAGACUUUGAUACCAAUCAUCCAUCAUAAAAACACGAGUGGAACAAGGCUGGAGUGUGUGUUCAUCUGUUUUCAGAGGCUGUCUGACACUGAUCCCUUUAUUCAGGCUCAGGCAGAGAGAAUUAAAUUAUAUUCAAAACUGCAGCGGGCAAAGUGUCCUGUUUUUAUUUUUGUUUGGGAAACUUUAUUUCAUCAGUGCUGUUGCAGAAAAACAUAUGCGACUUUCAUCAUUAACUACAACACUUUUCUACAACUGAACAUAACUUUAAAGGCAAAUCCCAUCCUCACCUCUAAUGUCAGUAUGAUGGCAACGCAGUCUUUCAAGUGAUUUAAAGCAAUAUGAUGAAAUAGGAAAAUGUCAAAGGUUUGUUAGAGGCAAUGUGGUGUUAAAACCUUUAUAAUUGGUUCUGAGAUGUUUUAUCUGAUGUAACAUUUUAGAGGGAAUAUGUGUCAGGUUGAUUUGGCAGGAGGGAUCUCUCUGGCCUGGGGCUCCAAAGUGUGCACCCCUGACAGGAGCUGCAAACAGCUCACAGACGGCAAAACAAAUGAAAGCUGUGAUGUUUUCACCCUGGUCUGAUGUAAAAGAGGGCUGCAUAUGUUCAGCACUACAUCUGCUGGCAGGAAUAUGGUUGAGUUUGGUUGGAAGUCCAGUCUGUUGUAAUGAAGUUGCAAAAGAACCUGUCUUGGCAACACAUGGUGCCGUGAAGGGAUUUUUCACAGGCUUAAUGCAGGUUUGUGAGCCAAGAUGAUGUGUGUGAACUGAGAAGCAAGUCUGAGGAAAAACUUGCAACAUGGGGGAUGACAGCUACAUCUUCAAAAUAUUGUUUUUCAAAGGAAUGAAGAUAAAUGCAUUCAUAUUUGUGAGAAAGAUGGCCCUCUGAUGCCCCCUCCACUCUGUCUUUGUCUCCCCCCCCGUCCUCAUGCACUCUCAUUUUAUCACAUACGCAACAAGCCACAUGCACUACACACACUUUUACCCACAAUUGCAUUUGCACCCACAUACACAAUCAACAGAGCGGGGUUUAUAUUUCUUUAUCUUAUAAAAACACAUGCAUAAGAGCAGCAGCGCAUAUGGUGCUCAUUUCUGCACCAGUGGCCUAAUGCUCUUAAGUUCAGCCUUUGUUCAGAGCAUCAUUGUUUUAAAGGGAGAAGACAAAGCAGGGCAGUGUCUCUGUGCUGCUGUUUCAGAGUAGAAAGUAGAACACUGCAGCCAUUGUAUUUUUUCACCUCCUAACUUCCUGCAUCCACACUGAAAUGCUGACAGACAAAAGGUUACAAGAAGCAGGUCAGCAUUUGGUGGAGGGAACCAACCCUUACACCUCACUUUUAGAGAUAUUUGUGGGGGGACUGAUGUGGAGAAUAAAGCUUCUCUCUUCUCAUUUUUUUUCAGGAAUUUGGGUUCCUUGCUCCUGUGAGGACAUUUUAAACCCAUCAUUUAGUGCAAAUUUGGAUUUAAAAACACUUUUUUUUUAAAGUGUAUCACAUGAUAUUUCAGUCAGAGUGCAGGCAUUUGACUAAAAAAAGGUCAUCUUCAAAACGUUCAAUUAUGGUUCAUUUAGAGCCUCCAAUUUUUUAAUAACCCUCUGAAAAAUAUAUUCAGUCUUUUCCCUAAAUAAAAGGGAUUUUUGCACAUCUUUCAUACUGCAGCUCUGACAGUCGUUAAUGAAACAUGUUGUUGUUCCUUUCCAAAGCAACACAGCAUGUUUGGCACCUUUUAAUUGUCCAAAUUGUGUUUCUUUCAGAAUUAAUUGCAACACUAAUCACUCAUGUGACUCCCUGAUAUUUUAUUUUGCUCAGCCUCAAGGCCAAAUUUUUAAUUUUGUCCAAUAAAUUGGUUUAGGAUGAAAUUUCUGCAAAACUGUCCCAGCAGCCUUUGUGUUCUGCUCCCUUCAGCAAAUAAAUAUGCUUAGAAGCUUAGCUAAACGAGAUAACAUGGAAAGCAUUUGUCAUUAUGCACUAACACAUUUUUACUUAUGUUGUGAAUAUAUUAUUGUGUAACGCUGUGGCUAAAAUUUACUACUACCACUAGGGGCAAAAUUUAGCCACUAAUUUCCACGUAACCUUUUUUUUACUGCAGCAAAUGGGAUGAUUUUUUGUGCAGAUGCUUAUAUUGAUGGACACUUUGGGAAUAUGACUUUUCACCAAGUCAAAAAUACGCGCUGGGCAAAUUUUCAUCAGUUGUUAACGCUCAGUAGCUAAAAACAGCUUUGACUGCUGUAAAAACAUAUUGGGUAAAUAUUUUUUUCCAGUUUUUUUAAUAUAUCUCUUAAUUAACUUCUGCUUUGAUCAAAACUAGUAAAUGUUUCAUCUAAAAACAUUUUUUUAACCCUUUGAGGGUCCAUUCAAAACAUAAUGUCACUGAUAUGAUAGAAAAUAAAUCUAAUAAAAAUCAGUCAUUUUCCUCCCAUUUUUUCCCCUAAUAUUAGCGACUUUAUGUUUUACAUGGAUCCUUAAAGGGUUAAAAUUUGGAUUCUUAAUGAAACAUUUACUAGUUUUGAAUAGAGCAGAAGUUAAUUAAGAGAUAUAUGAAAACAAAUCUCAAAAAAAUAUGAAUCCAGUAUGUUUUUACAGCAGUCAAUGUCAGUGGCUUUUUUUUAGCCACUGAGCGUUAAGAAAGGAUGUAAAUCUAAGGGUUACACAAGGGUUAAAUUAUAAUGUAUAAUUUUUUAGGCUAAAUUAUAAGGCUAUAGUGUGCCUGUGGAUAGAGCAGAACGCUUAAAUGUGACCAACUCUGAUAAUCACUCUGUCAGUCUGUUGGAUGCAUCAUACCAUUUAAUGAUACCCCUCAGUCUCUGCAAACAGUGAAGCCAAAACGCCACCUUAAUGGCUGCUGACAUGUUCGACCUGUAACAUCGUUUAGAGCAAAUGCAAAGAUGUAAAUUUGGCUGGUUGAGUCACAGGACUGGCAUUACUACACUCCAAUUAACCAAAAUAUCCAUUUAACCAGGUGGUGAGGCAGCAAAGACCCCUCAGGUCUGUAUAGUCCACAGCAGAAUAGAUUUUAGUGUUGACUUGACAAACACUAAUAACUUUGGAAAGUGUAAUGACUCCUAAGUUUAUAUUUGUCACAUUAACCCGCUUGUUCCCUUUCUAAACUUCUAAUUAGUGGAUUUAAGAUCACAGUAGAGCUUACAUUUGUAUUUGUGUGACAGAGAGCAUGAGCUAAUUCGACUUAUAUUUGAAUCUUCAUACUUUUCUUACAAUGAAGAAGUCAGGAUUUAAGACCUGUACAGCUGCCUGUCACCGGGGGAAAACUAAAAGUUUUAGCUACACUCAGAGGAGUUGUUUUACUGUCCAUGUUUGAUAGAGUGUAUGUGUCAAACCUGUGUCAGUGUGAAGUCAAACAUGAACCAAACACAAGGGAAAUAAGAUGUUUGCAACUGCAGCUGUCUGUCCUUUGUUGACAUAUUUGUCUUUGACAAUGCACAGAAGAUAGAGGAAAGAACAGGAGACAGAUCACAGUGAUAAAGGACCUGGAAUUUAUCCAAGAUGCCACAGGUAUUUGGUAUGCACAUCAACCACCUGGGGCACCAAGACAUCCUGAAUACCAAUCAUCCAUCUAACGGUAUAUAGACCUACAUGGUGAGAGAAACUGCAGUGUAUGUUUAUGUAGCUCCUGUUAGUUAUGUACAGCCUCUGAGUUUAUUUAUCACCCAG
Molecule: long non-coding RNA, 3851 nt
Filed under: Xyrichtys novacula (pearly razorfish)
Lineage: Eukaryota; Metazoa; Chordata; Actinopteri; Labriformes; Labridae
Source: RNAcentral